GGAGGGUGCAAGCGUUGUUCGGAAUUACUGGGCGUAAAGCGUGUGUAGGCGGAUUCGGUAGUCGGGUGUGAAAGCCCUGGGCUCAACCCAGGAAGUGCGCCCGAAACCACGGAUCUUGAGUUCCGGAGGGGAUCGGGGAAUUCCCAGUGUAGAGGUGAAAUUCGUAGAUAUUGGGAGGAACACCGGCGGCGAAGGCGCCGAUCUGGACGGACACUGACGCUGAGACACGAAAGCGUGGGUAGCAAACAGGAUUAGAUACCCUGGGUAGUCCACGCCGUAAACGAUGUGCACUAGGUGUCGGGGGUAUUGACCCCCCCUCGGUGCCGACGCUAACGCAUUAAGUGCACCGCCUGGGAAGUACGGCCGCAAGGCUG
Molecule: ribosomal RNA, 374 nt
Filed under: uncultured organism
Description: partial 16S ribosomal RNA
Rfam family: Bacterial small subunit ribosomal RNA
Source: RNAcentral